GGAGUCGGCCAGACAGUCGCGUCACCCAUGCCCUCCGGGGCGGCGGGUGCCGAGGAAAGUCCGGGCUCCACAGGGCACGGUGCCAGGUAACCCCUGGGCGGCGCGAGCCGACGGAAAGUGCAACAGAGAGCAGACCGCCGAUGGCCCGAAAGGGAUCAGGCAAGGGUGAAACGGUGCGGUAAGAGCGCACCGCGAGUCCGGCAACGGACCGGCACGGCAAACCCCACCGGGAGCAAGGCCAAAUAGGGACCUCAUGACGUGGCCCGCGUCGGGUCCGGGUAGGCUGCUCGAGCGUAGCGGUGACGCUGCGCCUAGAGGAAUGACUGUCCACGACAGAACCCGGCUUAUCGGCCGGCUCCGCCA
Molecule: RNase P RNA, 363 nt
Filed under: Luteimonas salinisoli
Lineage: Bacteria; Pseudomonadati; Pseudomonadota; Gammaproteobacteria; Lysobacterales; Lysobacteraceae
Description: Bacterial RNase P class A
Rfam family: Bacterial RNase P class A
About the family: Ribonuclease P (RNase P) is a ubiquitous endoribonuclease, found in archaea, bacteria and eukarya as well as chloroplasts and mitochondria. Its best characterised activity is the generation of mature 5'-ends of tRNAs by cleaving the 5'-leader elements of precursor-tRNAs.
Source: Rfam by way of RNAcentral